This 26-nucleotide non-coding RNA is filed under the name Homo sapiens (human). The record is from RNAcentral. Lineage: Eukaryota; Metazoa; Chordata; Mammalia; Primates; Hominidae.
UAGAGCGUAAGUAUGGAUGUUGUGGC